UACGUAGGGAGCAAGCGUUGUCCGGAAUCAUUGGGCGUAAAGCGCGCGUAGGUGGCCUCAUAAGUCCGCUGUGAAAGUCAAAGGCUCAACCUUUGAAAGCCGGUGGAUACUGUCGGGCUUGAGUACGGAAGAGGCGAGUGGAAUUCCUGGUGUAGCGGUGAAAUGCGCAGAUAUCAGGAGGAACACCAAUUGCGAAGGCAGCUCGCUGGGACGUUACUGACGCUGAGACGCGAAAGCGUGGGGAGCAAACGGG
This 253-nucleotide ribosomal RNA is filed under the name uncultured bacterium. RNAcentral's name for it is "partial 16S ribosomal RNA". It matches the Rfam family "Bacterial small subunit ribosomal RNA", at positions 524 to 776 of the family's 1533-position model. The record is from RNAcentral.